UCGGAUAUGGUGUAACGGCUAACUUUGCCGCCUCUCAUUAGACGGGUCCGCCAUGUUUCGCGGCAGCUCGGGGUUCGAUUCCCCGUAUCCGAA
This 93-nucleotide transfer RNA is filed under the name Armillaria gallica. Its description in RNAcentral is "tRNA-Glu". The record is from RNAcentral. Lineage: Eukaryota; Fungi; Basidiomycota; Agaricomycetes; Agaricales; Physalacriaceae.